Molecule: ribosomal RNA, 792 nt
Filed under: uncultured Bacteroidota bacterium
Lineage: Bacteria; Pseudomonadati; Bacteroidota
Description: bacterial SSU rRNA
Rfam family: Bacterial small subunit ribosomal RNA
Source: RNAcentral
AGUCGAGGGGUAUAGUUCUUCGGAAUUAGAGACCGGCGCACGGGUGCGUAACGCGUAUGCAAUCUACCUUUUACAGAGGGAUAGCCCAGAGAAAUUUGGAUUAAUACCUCAUAGUAUUAUGACUCGGCAUCGAGAAAUAAUUAAAGUCACAACGGUAAAAGAUGAGCAUGCGUCCCAUUAGCUAGUUGGUAAGGUAACGGCUUACCAAGGCGACGAUGGGUAGGGGUCCUGAGAGGGAGAUCCCCCACACUGGUACUGAGACACGGACCAGACUCCUACGGGAGGCAGCAGUGAGGAAUAUUGGUCAAUGGGCGCAAGCCUGAACCAGCCAUGCCGCGUGCAGGAUGACGGUCCUAUGGAUUGUAAACUGCUUUUGUACAGGAAGAAACCCUCGGACAUGUCCGAGCUUGACGGUACUGUAAGAAUAAGGAUCGGCUAACUCCGUGCCAGCAGCCGCGGUAAUACGGAGGAUCCAAGCGUUAUCCGGAAUCAUUGGGUUUAAAGGGUCCGUAGGCGGUUUAGUAAGUCAGUGGUGAAAGCCCAUCGCUCAACGGUGGAACGGCCAUUGAUACUGCUAGACUUGAAUUAUUAGGAAGUAACUAGAAUAUGUAGUGUAGCGGUGAAAUGCUUAGAGAUUACAUGGAAUACCAAUUGCGAAGGCAGGUUACUACUAAUGGAUUGACGCUGAUGGACGAAAGCGUGGGUAGCGAACAGGAUUAGAUACCCUGGUAGUCCACGCCGUANACGAUGGAUACUAGCUGUUGGGAGCGAUCUCAGUGGCUAAGCGAAAGU